Mastomys coucha (southern multimammate mouse) is the source of this 532-nucleotide long non-coding RNA. RefSeq lists it as uncharacterized. The transcript is spliced from 2 exons. The record is from RefSeq and is a predicted model, not a curated record. NCBI's taxonomy places the organism in Eukaryota, Metazoa, Chordata, Mammalia, Rodentia, Muridae.
CACUUGUCCUAUGUGCAGGCCAUUAAGUCUUUGAUGAUGCAGCAUUUUGUUACUAGAUAGAAGAUACGCCUUUUCUCCCUCUGGAACUUCCUUUCAAGGGCCUGGCAUUCACUCUGCAAGCUUUGACAUUUUGAGGCUCAUGAGCAGGUAUGACAAAUAUAGUGUGGGAAGUGCCUGACUAAGAGCUUCAGCAAAAUUUCUGCCAAAUGGCAAAGGAAAGACAAAUGGCAAAAUGGAAAGGAAAAGAGGGACAACGCUAGUUUCAAGCCUGUGUCCGGUGUCUGGUCUUGUUACCAGCAGGCAGCUCUCACCAAGAAGGUUUCAGCAGAUACAAGAUCUACCCCGGACAAGGGCAGGACUGCACCAGGACCAAUCGGAAGGUUUCUCUGUUUCUGAACGCGAAAUGCAAGUGCAUGUGCCUUUCCAAAAGGAAUCCUCGGCAGAUAUACUGGACUGUCCUGGUUAAAAAUACAAAAGAAGAACAGUUGGAAGAAAUUCAAAAUAAAAGAAGCCACUGUGUUUUUAAAGUCCA